AGAUGCUCGUUUGUGAACCCCCAAAUGGUGGCAGCUAGAGAGUAUUUGGAAAUUCAUGAGUUUCAGUUUCUUGCUCUCAUGGCAAUAGGUAUCGUUACCAUGCUUUUCGGUGUUAUUCGAUACAACUCUGCUAAACGGUCAGUCAGCCAACGGUUAAUCCUCCCUCCUUACAACAUGUAGUACAACACAUAGUACAACAUGUAGUACAACACUACAACAUAUAGACUUCAAUGUUGAACUUAUAUUGUAUCCCCAAUGUCCUGUAAUAUUAUGUUAUCGCUUUUUUUGGUGGAUUUUUUGUUCAAUUUGUCGCUCUGCGUGAAGACUGUCCAUCUUCUUUGCUUGUUAUGAGUUUACCAUUAUUAUUCUCUCUUGUGAUAAGGAACCAUUCACAUAUUACGUCAGAUUUUUUGCCCUUUUCAGACCCCUUUUGACAGAAAUUUACCGUCAAUGCAUUUCGAGACCCCUCUCCAGCUCCCCGAAUACUGAGGUAAUAUGUGAUCCCUCCCUCCCUAAGUAGUUUAACAAGUAGAAACUGGACAAGAGCUAGAGUAUAAUAAUAUUGUCAAUAUCACCUGCAUGACCAGAUAACUACAUGAUUUAUCAUCUGCUUGUAAUUUAUUUUGGGCGAAAAGAACUAUUAAUUGCAGAUUUAAUUACCACUACUAUGAUUUGUUGAUUGAUCGCCAGUUUCAGGACGGAUCGUUUGUUAAAAAAGUUUUAGUAAAAUAGUCAUUUAAUAUUAUCAAUUAUUUGUCUCAUAUGUAUAAUAUUAAAAUAAAUAUUUCAGUAUCAUCAUUUAAAAUGUUCUGUACCUAAAAAAUGUUAUGCUACAUUCCUUUUUUUACUUGCAAGUCUCCAACGGCGUUGUUGGAUGUAACCUAGUUUUUACGAAAAUUGCUAAAAUCGAA
Bolinopsis microptera is the source of this 911-nucleotide long non-coding RNA. RefSeq lists it as uncharacterized. The record is from RefSeq and is a predicted model, not a curated record. The transcript is spliced from 2 exons. NCBI's taxonomy places the organism in Eukaryota, Metazoa, Ctenophora, Tentaculata, Lobata, Bolinopsidae.